UACGUAGGGGGCAAGCGUUAUCCGGAUUUACUGGGUGUAAAGGGAGCGUAGACGGUUAUGCAAGUCUGAAGUGAAAGCCCAAGGCUCAACCAUGGGACUGCUUUGGAAACUGUAAAACUGGAGUGCAGGGGAGGUAAGCGGAAUUCCUAGUGUAGCGGUGAAAUGCGUAGAUAUUAGGAGGAACACCAGUGGCGAAGGCGGCUUACUGGACUGUAACUGACGUUGAGGCUCGAAAGCGUGGGGAGCAAACAGG
Molecule: ribosomal RNA, 253 nt
Filed under: uncultured bacterium
Lineage: Bacteria
Description: partial 16S ribosomal RNA
Rfam family: Bacterial small subunit ribosomal RNA
Source: RNAcentral